Molecule: ribosomal RNA, 206 nt
Filed under: uncultured bacterium
Lineage: Bacteria
Description: partial 16S ribosomal RNA
Rfam family: Bacterial small subunit ribosomal RNA
Source: RNAcentral
GGAUUGCAGGCUGNAACCCGCCUGCAUGAAGUUGGAAUUGCUAGUAAUCGCGGAUCAGCAUGCCGCGGUGAAUACGUUCCCUGGCCUUGUACACACCGCCCGUCACACCAUGGGAGCCGGUAAUACCCGAAGUCAGUAGCCUAACCGCAAGGGGGGCGCUGCCGAAGGUAGGAUUGGCGACUGGGGUGAAGUCGUAACAAGGUAAC